Molecule: long non-coding RNA, 436 nt
Organism: Hyla sarda
Lineage: Eukaryota; Metazoa; Chordata; Amphibia; Anura; Hylidae
Exons: 3
Source: RefSeq, a predicted model, not a curated record
UUUUGAUUUUCAGCCAAUCAGAGAGCAGCACUACUGAAAUAGAACUCCCAGGAGUGAGGGGCCGGUGCUGGACACUGUGUAGGGACGCGGGAAUGCAAAGUCAUACACAUGACUGUGACUGAUGCACUAUCUCCAGGACAUGGAGUAGCAUUUCCGGACCUACAGCAAGACGUUGGAUGAAGGCACAGGCCUAGGAAUCAUGCACAUACACAGAAACAUUUGCCCAAAUUAUAGAGGUAACCUCCUUUAGUUUGCCCAGAGGAAGGGCCAUACAGUAGCCAUGGAUUCCCUACAGGUUUCCUCCCCUCUGGAGGUUUUUCCUGUCCUGAGUAUUAGUUACUGUACGCUCUUUGUGAGUGAUGGGAGGUUACAAAAAAUCCCCUACACAAACAUUUUAAUAAAUAAUAAAUAAAGUUCCCCUUUUUUUAAACUGUUC